GCAAGUCGAACGAGAAGGUACUUUCGGGUACUGGACAGUGGCGCACGGGUGAGUAACGCGUGGGAAUCUACCAUGGAGUGGGGGAUAACAGUUGGAAACGACUGCUAAUACCGCAUACGCCCUACGGGGGAAAGAUUUAUUGCUCUAUGAUGAGCCCGCGUUAGAUUAGGUAGGUGGUGGGGUAAUGGAGUACCAAGCCUACGAUCUAUAGCUGGUCUGAGAGGAUGAGC
RNAcentral lists this ribosomal RNA (230 nucleotides) under uncultured bacterium. RNAcentral describes it as "partial 16S ribosomal RNA". It matches the Rfam family "Bacterial small subunit ribosomal RNA", at positions 57 to 305 of the family's 1533-position model. The record is from RNAcentral.